GAGUCCAAAGAAAACAAUGGGCAAGCGAAGUGUGGUUUGAAACAUUCCGGAAGUAUCCCCAGCGUUGUCGACACUGCAUCCUUCCUCCUCCCCUUCCCUUCUGCGACACGCCAAGAAGAUAAAUCAACAAGGUGGGAGGAAGCCGGAGUACCCGGAGGGAACCCACGCAGUCACAGAGAGAACAUGCAAACUCCACAUAGAAAGACCCAGAGCCCGGGGAUCGAACCCAGGACCUUUGUAUUAUUUGGUGCUUUGUGGCUGUCAUAAGAUUGUGGAGGUGGCUGGCAAACAAGCACUCAUUGCAUCGUUAAGUAGAAUGAGGAGCGCAUUAUCUUUAGAAUUACUACUGAUAUUUGUCCACCUCAGCCUGAAAUGGUGCCACAUUAUCACCUCCAGAAAAUGAAGAAAUUGCAUGACAACCAUUCUACUGCAUAAUA
Molecule: long non-coding RNA, 437 nt
Organism: Entelurus aequoreus (snake pipefish)
Lineage: Eukaryota; Metazoa; Chordata; Actinopteri; Syngnathiformes; Syngnathidae
Exons: 3
Source: RefSeq, a predicted model, not a curated record